Molecule: long non-coding RNA, 664 nt
Filed under: Sus scrofa (pig)
Lineage: Eukaryota; Metazoa; Chordata; Mammalia; Artiodactyla; Suidae
Description: lncRNA (ENSSSCG00070005422.1)
Source: RNAcentral
CACACGGAGGCCAGACCAGGGCAGUGCUGUGAGGCCCCAACACCCUUCGGUAGGCGACAUGAGUGGGGGACAGAUUCUAACACCUUGAUUCCUCAUGUGUGUGUUUCUGCAGUGUGGAGCACUGUGAGUCUGUGUGGCAGCGUCCACGAUGAAGAUGACACAGACUCGGUGGUGGAGAGCAGCAACAGCCACCAGGACGAGGAGGCUGCAGAAUCUUGCUUUGGGAGGAAAGGAUCUUGCUUCAGGAGCCUGAGGAUAAGUUUGUCCUCUGCGAGCUUGGCUAGACUAAUCCCCUGGUGGCCGCACAACAGGGUGCACCCAGCCACUGAGCCAGAUGAAGCAACGCACGACGAUGUUGUGGAGGCCGGUGGGAGUGAGAAGACCGAGGAGGAGGCCCAGGCUGUGACCAAGGAGGAGGAGGCGGGCCCGGCCCCUGAGAAGGGGGCAGAGGAGGCCGCAGCCGUUGGCGAGGCAGAGGAGGAGGCGGGCCCAGGCAGUGACAAUGACAAGACGUCCCCAGCCAGGGCUGGGGCUGAGCAGGAAGAUGAAUCUGCCCCCAAGGUAAGCUCACCUUUCUUGAUGUGAGGUUGGAAAAGUCGCCUCCUUUCUUUUUUGAUAUUCCUACCUGAGAAAUGAAAAUCUGAGGAAGUCCAUUGUUUAUGAG